CAUUAUCAGUAUAGUGAAAGAUAUACAGUGUACAGAAUGAAGUGUUUAUUGUUGAUAACCGUAGCUGUAGUUUUUCUGGCUCAAAAUGCCGAAGCUAGCUUCGAAGACGGUGAAUUGUCCCGUGAAGAAGUUGCAGAAUUGCUUGAAAUGGAGAGUGAAGAAGAACUAGACGAAUUCUUUGCUGAAUUUGAUACUAAUGGCGAUGGCGUUAUUGAUUUAGAAGAAUCUACAGCAGUCGGAGAAGUCCUGGAUUAUUUCAUAGGAAAUGGUUCAGAAUAGAACACAACUCAAAUCAGAAACCAUUACAAUAUAAUCGAUGAUCAUUUAUUUUUAAUACAGCUUUACAUUUUAAUAUGCAUAAACCAUUAAAAUUAA
Long non-coding RNA from Patella vulgata (common limpet), 375 nucleotides. RefSeq lists it as uncharacterized. The record is from RefSeq and is a predicted model, not a curated record. The transcript has 4 exons. NCBI's taxonomy places the organism in Eukaryota, Metazoa, Mollusca, Gastropoda, Patellidae.